This 1282-nucleotide long non-coding RNA is filed under the name Acanthaster planci (crown-of-thorns starfish). RNAcentral describes it as "uncharacterized LOC110990420, transcript variant X1". Lineage: Eukaryota; Metazoa; Echinodermata; Asteroidea; Valvatida; Acanthasteridae. The record is from RNAcentral.
GAUGCUUUAUGAAAAUUCAUCAUCUUUAAAACUCUGGUUCUUCAUGUUUACGAUUAUUAAAAUUGGAAUUGAGUUUGAUGAGUUCAUCUUGUAUUUCUGGUCAUGACUAGCCCAGGCAGGUGGAGUCUGUACUAGUUGUAAUGUACAGUAAGGUAGACUAGCAUCCAACCUGGGUUAAAUCAUGACUAACAUUUAUAGUCCCAGUAACUGCAUGGUAAUUACCUCCUUCCUCUGUGGUAUUACUAAAUACAUGUACUAGGUGGCGGCCGAGGCCUACCAUUUUUUCUCAAAUUUUGGGAUUGACUGGUUCAAUACAACAAUCUUUUAUGUUACAUUUACCCUUUUGGGGGGGGGAUUUAGAUUUGAAAUUUGUGAGAAAAUGGAAUUUUCUGACUGAUGAGUGAUACUAGAUGUAAACCAGUCAAUCAAAUUUGACUUCACCAUGUUUCAUGUAUUAAAACACUUUUUUCCUGGUGCAUGUUAAUUCCCUCAAAACUCAACCCUCUGCCCUCUUUUCACAAUAUUAUUAACCCUACAGUUCAGCAUAAGGUCAACGUUAACUACCUUAUCCAAAAGUUUAAUGUGGCCCUGUAGGUCUCCCACUUAUUGUAGGAAUACAUAUAGGUCCCCAAAUACACAAUUCCCGUAUCCAGCAUGUCCACGUAUGUAGGUCUACAUUUCUUGAUGACCAUUUGAAUCCUUACAACGUAUCAGUAGGCAUGUCAAUGUAUAGAUUCCAUGACAUCAACAAAACUUACAUUGCCUAGUAUGAAAUGCACACAUGUUGUAAGUGGUAAAUUGCACUUGUAAUAAAAUUUUUAGGGUUUUCCAACCUAAUUAACUUAUUUGUAACCUUUACCUUAAACUAAAUGUUCAGGAUGCCCAAUGACACCCAAGAUGCAGUGCUAAACUGACUGUCAGCAUUUGCAGAAAGGAUGACCCUGACCGAAUGGCAAGUAACAGCCAGGAUAGGAUGUCAAACUUGGCCAAGCAGAGUGAGUUGAAAACAGGUUCCCCACAAUGUCCUGGUUGAGGCGAGAUGUUAUCAGAAAUCUAGCGUCAGCAGUCUCUUUCAAGUGCAACCAUAGCUGAUUGACACAAGAUAUGGCCAGAAGCCAGCCCAAGGGCAAGAUGAACAUUAUCUUCUUUGCUCCAACUACUCUGAGAUUCUUCAGCACAGGAGCCCUGGUCGCACACAACCACCUUCGGAUGCAGCCUGAUGUCUUUCAGAUGCUAAAUGCAUUCCAUUAGUAAUGCCUCAAGGUGAGUAGCACUUGUGGCA